This 1738-nucleotide long non-coding RNA is filed under the name Macaca mulatta (Rhesus monkey). Its description in RNAcentral is "lncRNA (ENSMMUG00000058243.1)". Lineage: Eukaryota; Metazoa; Chordata; Mammalia; Primates; Cercopithecidae. The record is from RNAcentral.
CUCGGCCUGUUUUCAAGCCGGGCUGUCGGUCUUCUGCACUCAGACUGGAACUUACACCAGUGGCUCGCCCAGGCCUCCAGCUUGCCGACUGCUGAUUUUUGGACUUGACAGCCUCCACCUCCACAGCGGCAUGAAAAAUUCCUCAUCAUCAAUCUCUCUAUGCAUAUAUCCUAUAUAUCCUUUCGGUUCUAUUUCUCUGGGGACCCCUAGAACAACACGCAAGGUGAGAGGCCCUUGAGGAGGACUGACUGUGGCUCGCUGGUCUAAAGCUCUAAGCUGCUACUGCUGCUGACUCCAGCUCUGCAGAAGAUACAGUGGUGACAUCUCCUGGGGACCGCGCCGUCGGUGCUCCAGCUUUCAGGAAGCUCCCGCCUUGGGGUGAACAGACAGCAGGUAAAGAAGCCUCAUGCAGGGCAGCAGGGGAUACCCUGGAGAGGAAAGCGAGGCAAGAAACAGACACUGUGCCAGUGGCUCCUGAAGGGAUGCACACUCGGGGAUCUCGGAGAGGGUCCAGGCUUGGACAGCCAUGCUCCCAGACAAGAGCUUCUGCUGUGCUCCCAGAUGAGAGCCAGAGCCCCACCUGUCAGGAGGCCACACUCAUGCCCAGGACUUCUGGGCCUCGGCAGUGCUCCCAAGGGUGUGGCACCAGGUGCAGCAGGGCAGCGUUUGACUCGGAGCCCGAGACAUGUAUCUGAUACAAAUGGGGCUGUUCUGGAUGAGGGAGGGGGCACCCAGCCCCCAAGUCCGGCUCCCCAGCUCCCUGACUGCCCUGGCUCUGCUGAGCACCUUCGAGACCAUAUUGGAAGCUCUCAGCGAGGCUCCUGGACCCUGGCAUCCCCGAAACCCCCUGAGGGACCCACUUUGCCAGCUGCAUGUCUGUGUCGCACGGAGCUGUCUCCUUGCUCUGCAAGCAGGUGGAAUGCAGGAGCAGGCAGGAAAAUCCAACUCUUCCGAGUCAGACACUCGAGAGCUCUGCAGACACAAAGACAAUGCCACGCCGCCCCCUAAAUGCUUUUUGUUUUGGAAAAUACAGCUGUUUGUCAUAAGAUAACCGGAAGCAGCAGAGAAAACAUCUGAAGUGCUUCCUGGACACACUGGUUAGGAAGUUUCUGCAAGAACCCAGCUGCCUCCCGGGCUGCCCAGGUCAGGUGCUGAGAACACAAAAGAAAAUGAGACAAAGUCGCCACCCUGGAGUUUACAAGCUGGCGUGGGAGACAGGCUGGCACUGAGGACGACAGUGGAGAGACAGGGAGAGACAGUGGAGAGACACGGAAGAACCAGAGGUGCUGGGGAAGCCGGGUCAGCAGAGAGACCCCAGCAGAGUGGGAGCCGGAGGACGGCGGCGACUGCAGCCGACUGUUUCAGGUGGCGUCCUCGUCAUGAGAGGACCUUGAGCGGUCAUGGGCUUCCUGGGAACCUGCCUACAGAGGAAACGAUUACUGGGUGCGGAUGUCUUGAACAUUUAUUGGAUUCCACGUUGUCAGUCAAUAAAACAGCUUUGCCAGCGUAAUACUGACAAAAUCAAGUUCAGGCUGUUAAGCCCAAGGGCUUCCAAGAAAAGUGGAUCUGGUGUCCAGUGGGGGCACUGCCUGGUUCCCAGGCGGAGUCCAAACUGGGGGGAGAAACAAGGACCCUGCGGGAAGAAGGGACCUGCCCGACUGGUUCCCCCGCACCCACGUCAGGAAUUUUCCCAGAAAGCCAUCCACUUUGUUAGAUGCAAAAUAAAGGUCAUUUGGAG